Long non-coding RNA from Onychostoma macrolepis, 3081 nucleotides. RefSeq lists it as uncharacterized. The record is from RefSeq and is a predicted model, not a curated record. The transcript has 6 exons. Lineage: Eukaryota; Metazoa; Chordata; Actinopteri; Cypriniformes; Cyprinidae.
GUCGCGCGGUGACGUCAAGCCCUGAUCUGACUCUAUGCAAAGCGCCCCGCGAUGCGCGCGUGCAGCUGAGCACAUGGAGGAGAGAGGACGCACACUUAGCAGCCUGGCUAAUGUAGCCUGUGGGUCGCAAAAUAUUGGCAAAUGAAGAACAUUUCAGAUCUGGAAAGUGGACUGACUUGCCUAAGGCGUCCUACAUGGUGCGGCUUUAUCAGGCAUGAUGAAAUGGAAAUAAGACUAAUCCGACCAAUCGCGGAUUAGCGUCAUGCAAAGGAGGGGUUUGGAAAAAUUAAUCAUUGAGCGAAUCGUUUGGGAGUCGUUGAGCAGUCUCCGCCCCACAUUCAGGAGAGUACCACAACGCAUAAGACUAAAUUAAAAACUGGCUGACAACAUUAAUACCCAUUUGGAGCAACAUGAGGGAUGAGAGAAAAAUAUUGAGGAUGUGAGCAGUCCCUUCACCUUUAAGAGUUAUCUUCAAAAUGGAGCUUGUUCUUUUUCCUAAGUUUCAGUCUCGGAAUCCAGUCACCCUGCCAGUGAGGAAUACGGUGAAGAGGCCGUCCUGUGCGAUAAGAGCACUACACCGGACAGCAUGACCUUCAGAGGACUGGACUUGAACUGUGUUUAGGCAGCAUGAAGUAGAGAACAACCUCCUGCUGAAGCCAUGAGUCACACUGCCAUCAGCCUCAAUUUAACCAUAGCGCUGAUGUCACCAGAGAUGUUAAAUCGGUCAGGUGCACCUCCAUGUGCCACAUACUGCUCACAAAAGAUGACUGCAUCCAUGUGAAUUGGUGGUAAAUUGGUCUAAUGGUGUUAAAAGCUUAAGUCUUCAGGAGUCUUCAGAAAGGGUUCAACCAAGUAUUUUUACAUAUGUGUAUACAUAUAUACUUAAAUAUACUUUAAAUAUAUAUAAGAAUUAUUGUUAACAUUCAUAACAGGUCUCCCUGCUCUGUUUUGAAGGGUUUCUUUAAGCACGGUAUGCACUGUGUAACCCCAGAGUGAACCCAGUGUGUUGUACUAAUAAAAUGCGUAUUAAUCUGUGAAUGCAUUUAAAAUCUAUGGAUAAUGUAAAGGUUAUAAUGCCCUUAUGUUUUGAUGAUUAGGCGACUGAAGAUAUAUAGGUUUUAGUGGGAGUAGCCAUUACUAUUCUUGGGCUGAGGAUUUUCUCGUGGAUCUCUGGUAAAGCCCAGGUUAAUGGAAUUGCUUCAGAUCUGGUUUUGGGGAUUGAGAAGCCUCCGUUUAGAUUAAUGUGAGCACCAGGGAUGAUGGGAGAGCGGGAUGCUGCCAGUGCUCUCUAAUAACACUGUGAGGGGUAGGGGUCAAUGCAGGGCAAGCCCAAUCUGGCUAGACUGUUUCGUCAGUGGAUUCUCUCAUAAUCCUCUUUCUCUGACUGCCACCGUGACCAUGUGACCUCCUGUGUAACAGAAACCAUGAAUCUCAGACAGCAGGGCAGCUAAAGGGCUUUAUGAAUUAUAAACAAUCUAGCAUGCAUUAGGAAUGAUGAAAUAAAUGCAAUUCUGUCUAGCAGGGUAGACAUUACCCAAAUUUAAGGAACAGUUCUCUAAAUAUUUCCACCCUCUUGUUUAAAUGUCAUGCGUUUCCUCUUUUACAGUGAAGAGGUUGUGUAUCAGUUAUCCGUACCCUCGGCUGGAGGAUUCAAAUUAGACUGAAUUCCUUUGUAAAGUGGUCUCUCACCUCUAUCAUGGGACAUGUUGUCAUUUCUGGGUGGUCCUGUUUCUUAAUGCCAACUUUCUCACAACUUUUUAGCGUUAAAUGCAGUAGUACAGGUUACACAUCCUUCAAGGGGCUCCCGGAUUCAACCGGCACAUGAAGCCUGUGCGUAUUUGUUUUGUGACAUGCACAUUUGUGACAUUACACAUUAAGACAAGCUGUUAUGUCAACAUUUCCUAAUUCUGUACAGUUGUAUCUUGCUUCUGAACUCAUUUGACCCUCACAUCCUCUAGUUAUCCAGCCAAUUUCUUUUUCUUAUCACUUUUUUCCUUUGAUAUCCCUCCCCUGUUGCUAACACUCUCUGUUCUUUAUCUAAGGGCAGCAGGCCAGGCACACGUGUACCAGCUCUCUGAAGAAGGCCAGUUCAGUGGAAACUAGCAAGCAAACACUCUGAAAAGGACACACGCUCCCUCAAUGUCAGCAAAUAUUUGGUCACAACUUCAAAGGGAAGUGACAGUUGUUUGAAACUGGGGAUGACGUUGGGCACUAUUAGAGCAGCGCAAGAGGUCCUGCCACGCUUGACUGCCGGCAUUUACACUUCUCAGUCCUCUCUCACUGCACACCUUCCUGUGGAGAUUGACUCGCUUUGUUUCCUCCCAGAUGAAUGUCUCUUUGAACCUCUUGUGGCAUAUGAAUGAACUGCAGUUAUAUUACUGGUUCCAGCUCUGUGGUGAUUCAUCGAAUGGGAAGUACAAAGGAAUUUGCUGCAUCACAGAGCAAAUCUGUUCAGAUUUUCAUGUGUAAACAAGAUUCCUUUGACGUGACCAACAAGAGUAUAAAAAUUACAAAUCUUUUGAGAAAGAUCUGUUUACUGGUUCUCAAUUACUUUCUUUCUGUCCAUCCAUCACCUUAGUCUCACUUUCACAGUCUCUCCGCCACUCUUUUCAUGCAGCGGUUUUUAUGAAUAAUAUAUGCCACAUUGCUUUGCUGUCAUUAAAGGUGACCUUGGUUAAUUAUUGAUCGGGUCAGAUGAUUACAGGCCUGACCUCUGUAUGUUCUUGUCUGCCUGUCGUCUGUUUUCAUGUUUACGCUCUUCCUCUUAGUAUUCCUGGAGACCCUCGUAUGACGAAUUACUGUCUAUUGUUAUUGCUGGGGGAGUGUUGGCGCCUUUACAGAGACAUGAAAUGUAAAAUUACAAAUGUAACCAUGAACGUCAAGACUGUUACUUUGUUUUAAUGAAAUAUGUAAGAGGUAAUGUAUAGUCAGUUGGUCAUUAUCACUAAAUAAACCCUGACAGGGUAAUCAGGUUGAGCCCCUGAAGGGGUUUAUUUUGUUACAGUGACCGGCUGACUCUAAAAUGUCCUGCUUAUUACCUUGCUACUUGUCAAAUGAAUACAUAAAUGGACUUGAAAUAUU